RNAcentral lists this long non-coding RNA (1072 nucleotides) under Homo sapiens (human). Its description in RNAcentral is "HSALNT0290456". Lineage: Eukaryota; Metazoa; Chordata; Mammalia; Primates; Hominidae. The record is from RNAcentral.
CCCCGACACAGCCUCAUACGCCUCACUCUUUACACACACGGUCACUUGCCCCGCGCACUCCCGAGCCCUUUCCAGCCCUGACACACAGCUGGGAUUCUCACUUCCGAUCAGCGGUCCUGAACCCGCUCCCAGGGCACGGGAACUCCCUUCGUGGCGAAGCAGCAACCUCUGCGCUGCCUCAUCUACAUAGAAGUCGCCCUGUCCGUGAUGUCACCGACAGUGCCUUGCCCAGUCCCCGUCUGCCUUUCUGCCACUCAACCGACCAAUCUGCUGCCAGAGCCGCCAAGGGGAAGUGACGUCUGCCUCUCCCUUUUUCCCUCCCGCCCCUGCGUCUGUUCUCUCCCAAAGAAGCUGGUCCUUAGCCUGUGUUAAGGAGCAACCUUUCGGUGGCCAGAUGGAGCCGGGGCAUCCUUCUUCAAAUAAUGGCUUUUAAUUCGCAGACUAGAAUGUUUCGGAUUACAAAAGAAACCGGUUCUCUUCACAUCCUUAUCCUUGUGAUGCAGCAUUCCGCUUGCAAUUGGAAGCCGUUUAAUAUCAGAGAGAAACCAUAUUUAUGAAAGUAAAGAGGCUGCUUAGAUGACUGCAAACCAGCCGUCCUUACUGGUUUUAUCACUGGUAAUGUUAUAAAGACAGUUGUCCAGUUUCAUGAAUCUUGUAGGUUUUUUUUUUUUUGAUGUUGUUUUUUUUUUCAAAAAUCCGUAUUGUAGAAAAAUAUGCUGUCCCAGAAGAGAUGAUUGGACACUCUCAAGCGUGGUGCUGGACUUUGUCAUCUCUUGCACAGCCAUCUCCACACCUUAGUGCUUACCUCAUGUUAGUUUUUUAUAUUCUGCAAAGACGAAACCAAAAUAAUCCAAAUUUGACACAAAUACCUGGGCUACAUCUUAUUUGAGAUGUUUAACAAAUGUCUGGAUCAUCUUUUCUUAUAUAUUACGCAGGAAACACUGUGAAGUAAGCAAAGUUGGAAUGCCCAAGUGAAAGACCAUUUGAAUAUUUACAAGUAGAUUUCAGACAGGAAUACUACAGGGUGGUCACAGGAUAACAAAUUCUAGGCAGCAGAUUUACAUGACUUGAG